UACGGGGGGGGUAAGCGUUGUUCGGAAUUACUGGGCGUAAAGGGCUCGUAGGCGGCCAACUAAGUCAUACGUGAAAUCCCUCGGCUUAACCGGGGAACUGCGUCUGAUACUGGAUGGCUUGAGUUUGGGAGAGGGACGCGGAAUUCCAGGUGUAGCGGUGAAAUGCGUAGAUAUCUGGAGGAACACCGGUGGCGAAGGCGGCGUCCUGGACCAACACUGACACUGAGGAGCGAAAGCCAGGGGAGCAAACGGG
RNAcentral lists this ribosomal RNA (253 nucleotides) under uncultured bacterium. RNAcentral describes it as "partial 16S ribosomal RNA". It matches the Rfam family "Bacterial small subunit ribosomal RNA", at positions 524 to 776 of the family's 1533-position model. The record is from RNAcentral.